RNAcentral lists this ribosomal RNA (252 nucleotides) under uncultured bacterium. RNAcentral's name for it is "partial 16S ribosomal RNA". It matches the Rfam family "Bacterial small subunit ribosomal RNA", at positions 524 to 776 of the family's 1533-position model. The record is from RNAcentral.
UACGGGGGGGGCAAGCGUUGUUCGGAAUUACUGGGCGUAAAGGGCUCGUAGGUGGCCAACUAAGUCAGACGUGAAAUCCCUCGGCUUAACCGGGGAACUGCGUCUGAUACUGGAUGGCUUGAGUUCGGGAGAGGGAUGCGGAAUUCCAGGUGUAGCGGUGAAAUGCGUAGAUAUCUGGAGGAACACCGGUGGCGAAGGCGGCAUCCUGACCGAUACUGACGCUGAGGAGCGAAAGCCAGGGGAGCAAACGGG